This 1189-nucleotide ribosomal RNA is filed under the name Caridina celebensis. RNAcentral's name for it is "partial 16S ribosomal RNA". The record is from RNAcentral. Lineage: Eukaryota; Metazoa; Arthropoda; Malacostraca; Decapoda; Atyidae.
UUAUUAUUUGCUUUUGUGUGAGGAACAAUAAUAUUGUUAGUAAAAUAUUAAUAAUCAAUAUAGGUUUAUUAUGAAAAAGAACUCUUGUUUGAGGCGAUAGUAUAAAGUAGUACUGUAUAGGAUAGUUUAAAAAUUAAUGAAAAGAAAAAUUUAGAGUCUGUACCUUUAGUAUCAGGGACAAUCAAAAUAUUUAGUUUGUAGAUUGAAAUCUCGAAGUUAAGUGAGUAAGCUUAUUAUAAAUGUUUAUGUAGAAAAAUGAAAUAAUUAAUAGUAAGUUAGAGGUGAAAUGCCAGUCGAGCUUAGUAUAUCUAGUUUUUUUUGAAGGAAAUUUAAUUUUUAACUUUACUUGAAAAAGUAAGGGUUUAAUUUUGGGGGGGACAAGCUCCUCAAGAGAUACUUGGAGAAAAAGAAUAUUAACUUUUGUCUCGGCUUGUAAUCAGCUAAGAUAAUAGUUCGUUUUAGAUAAUAAGGUUGAUAAAUAUUAUUUUUAUAAGUGCUAGUUAAAAUAGAAAAAGUUUUAUUAUAAUAUGUUAUUGUAUAUAUAUAAUGAUUGUAUUAGUAGAUUUAGAUAAUGUAAAAGAAAAAAAUUAAUUAUAAGUUCAAUUAUAAAAAUUUGAGUAGUUAUAUUCAAGGAACUCGGCAAAUCUAGCUUCUGCCUGUUUAUCAAAAACAUGUCUAUAUAGAAAAAAGAUAUAUAGUCUAACCUGCCCACUGAGAAAUUUAAAGGGCCGCGGUAUUUUGACCGUGCUAAGGUAGCAUAAUAAAUAGUCUUCUAAUUGGAGUCCGGUAUGAACGGUUGGACAUGAAGUUACCUGUCUUGGGGGUAUAUGUUGAAUUUUACUUUUAAGUGAAAAGGCUUAAAUUGAGUGGGGGGACGAUAAGACCCUAUAAAGCUUUAUAUUUUGUAUAGUAAUUAUAGAGUAUUAAGUUUUUUUAUGUUACUAGAUAAAGUAUUUCGUUGGGGCGACGAGAAUAUAAUAUAUAGGUAACUGUUCUUAAGAUAAAAUAAGUAUUGUUAGAGAGGUUGAUCCUUUGUAAAGAUUAUAAGAGUUAAGUUACUUUAGGGAUAACAGCGUAAUUUUUUUUGAGAGUUCAUAUCGACAGAAUUAGUUGCGACCUCGAUGUUGAAUUAAGAUGUUUUUAAGGUGUAGAAGCUUUAGUAGUAGGUCUGUUCGACCUUUAAAAUCUU